UACGUAGGGACCAAGCGUUGUUCGGAUUUACUGGGCGUAAAGGGCGCGUAGGCGGCAAUUUAAGUCAGUUGUGAAAUCUCCGAGCUUAACUCGGAACGGUCAACUGAUACUGCUAUGCUAGAGUACAGAAGGGGCAAUCGGAAUUCUUGGUGUAGCGGUGAAAUGCGUAGAUAUCAAGAGGAACACCAGAGGUGAAGACGGGUUGCUGGACUGAUACUGACGCUGAGGCGCGAAAGCUAGGGUAGCAAACAGG
RNAcentral lists this ribosomal RNA (253 nucleotides) under uncultured bacterium. RNAcentral describes it as "partial 16S ribosomal RNA". It matches the Rfam family "Bacterial small subunit ribosomal RNA", at positions 524 to 776 of the family's 1533-position model. The record is from RNAcentral.